RNAcentral lists this long non-coding RNA (548 nucleotides) under Equus asinus (donkey). Its description in RNAcentral is "lncRNA (ENSEASG00005030345.1)". The record is from RNAcentral. Lineage: Eukaryota; Metazoa; Chordata; Mammalia; Perissodactyla; Equidae.
GGCGGAGGUGGGGAUUGCGUUCUGGGGGUUCAGGGAAAGCGAGCCGCUUCUGGCUGGGAAAUCAGGAGAGUCUACCUGGAAGAAGAGGCAUUUGAGCUGAGUUUUGAAGGAUGGAUAAGGGAGGGGAGUAGGAAGCCAAGUCGUCAGGAAGUGUUAAGAGAAAAUGGAGAAGUCAAUCCAGUGUGGCUGAAGUGCAAGGAUCUUGAUGAGGGAGAGGGGUGAAGCUAAUGCCACUGAUCUGGGGACCACACUUCAAGAACCACUGCUUAUAAUAGCUGUCAAAUGGCUACACCCAAGAAGCUGCCUUGGAGUGAUCACAGGAGAUUCAGUCCCUGGCUCCAUAAAGACCGUUCUUUCUUCUAACUUAAAGCCCUGGGAACAUACCUCUCACCUUUCUCCUCCCAGAGCUGCACCAGCCUGCAAGAGGAGUGAAGAAGUUGCUAGAAACAGAAUUCUGGUCCCCCCACCCCCCUCCUCAUCAUCUGAUACCAUCAGACCUCAACAGUCUCUGUGCUAAGAGCCCCUAAUGAGCAUCAGCAAAUUAACAA